Molecule: ribosomal RNA, 731 nt
Filed under: uncultured bacterium
Lineage: Bacteria
Description: bacterial SSU rRNA
Rfam family: Bacterial small subunit ribosomal RNA
Source: RNAcentral
AACAGGAUUAGAUACCCUGGUAGUCCACGCUGUAAACGAUGUCGACUUGGAGGUUGCGCCCUUGAGGCGUGGCUUCCGGAGCUAACGCGUUAAGUCGACCGCCUGGGGAGUACGGCCGCAAGGUUAAAACUCAAAUGAAUUGACGGGGGCCCGCACAAGCGGUGGAGCAUGUGGUUUAAUUCGAUGCAACGCGAAGAACCUUACCUACUCUUGACAUCCAGAGAAUUCGCUAGAGAUAGCUUAGUGCCUUCGGGAACUCUGAGACAGGUGCUGCAUGGCUGUCGUCAGCUCGUGUUGUGAAAUGUUGGGUUAAGUCCCGCAACGAGCGCAACCCUUAUCCUUUGUUGCCAGCGCGUAAUGGCGGGAACUCAAAGGAGACUGCCGGUGAUAAACCGGAGGAAGGUGGGGAUGACGUCAAGUCGUCAUGGCCCUUACGAGUAGGGCUACACACGUGCUACAAUGGCGUAUACAAAGAGAAGCGAACUCGCGAGAGCAAGCGGACCUCAUAAAGUACGUCGUAGUCCGGAUCGGAGUCCGCAACUCGACUCCGUGAAGUCGGAAUCGCUAGUAAUCGUAGAUCAGAAUGCUACGGUGAAUACGUUCCCGGGCCUUGUACUCACCGCCCGUCACACCAUGGGAGUGGGUUGCAAAAGAAGUAGGUAGCUUAACCUUCGGGAGGGCGCUUACCACUUUGUGAUUCAUGACUGGGGUGAAGUCGUAACAAGGUAACC